Molecule: ribosomal RNA, 115 nt
Filed under: uncultured eukaryote
Lineage: Eukaryota
Description: partial small subunit ribosomal RNA
Rfam family: Bacterial small subunit ribosomal RNA
Source: RNAcentral
UGGCUUUACCUGAAGACGGUGCGCUAACCGCAAGGAGGCAGCCGGCCACGGUAGGGUCAGCGACUGGGGUGAAGUCGUAACAAGGUAGCCGUAGGUGAACCUGCAGAAGGAAUCA